AUUGAACGCUGGCGGCAGGCCUAACACAUGCAAGUCGAACGAGUGGCGGACGGGUGAGUAAUGUCUAGGAAACUGCCUGAUGGAGGGGGAUAACUACUGGAAACGGUAGCUAAUACCGCAUACCAUCGGAUGUGCCCAGAUGGGAUUAGCUAGUAGGUGGGGUAAAGGCUCACCAGGGCGACGAUCCCUAGCUGGUCUGAGAGGAUGACCAGCCACACUGGAACUGAGACACGGGCCAGAUGCCUACGGUAGGCAGCAGGGGGGAAGAUUGCACAAUGGGCGAAAGGCUGAUGGAGCCAUGCCGAGUGUAUGAAGAAGGCCUUCGGGUUGUAAAGUACUUGCAGCGGGGAGGCGUUACCCGCAGAAGAAGCACCGGCGAACUCCGUGCCAGCAGCCGCGGUAAUUC
RNAcentral lists this ribosomal RNA (406 nucleotides) under uncultured bacterium. RNAcentral describes it as "partial 16S ribosomal RNA". It matches the Rfam family "Bacterial small subunit ribosomal RNA", at positions 29 to 526 of the family's 1533-position model. The record is from RNAcentral.